RNAcentral lists this long non-coding RNA (921 nucleotides) under Mus musculus (house mouse). Its description in RNAcentral is "Hand2, opposite strand 1". The record is from RNAcentral. Lineage: Eukaryota; Metazoa; Chordata; Mammalia; Rodentia; Muridae.
GCCGAGGUCCUCUUCUAGGAUUGGUUGUCCACUCAUAACCAUAAGAUAAUUAAAACGGGGGGGGGCAGGGUAAAAAAAAAACCCUUUUAUCAGCCAUAGGUUAAUGCAAGUGUUUAACAGAUGCUUCGCUAUUAAAAUAUUUCCCCCCAAUACUGAAGAAUCUUAAACCAGCAACCCUAACAGAGAUUGCGAAGAUUUUCAAAGUGGGGCACCUCGAUUUCUCGAAUCUGUGGUGUGGCGAAUAUCCGUGUUCCUCCUGCUUAACUAGCCUGUUUGCAUCUUUUGACACAUUUUACUUCCGUAAUUUCGGACUGCCAGAAGGCACAGUUCAUUCUCGAGCAAUUCGUCACCUCCUGGGGGUCUUCUCUUCCCGUCUACAGGAGAGUGUGACUUCAGAAAGAACUUCGGAUUGGCCAAGGCCAUUAAAGCUGGUGAGCGACUUGGAAGUCAUUUAGAAAGGAACAGACCUUCAACCUCAAGCCUUUGCGGGCACUGGGAAAGUGUCUUCCCAAUCAAUCUGGCUUGCAGGCGGCAGGACCAACUCUGACCUGGCUUAUCUUGUACCCAUCCUAAAUACACCAAACUCAAGAGGUAGCCAGGGCCGCCUCAACACCGAGGCAGGUCUGAUUCUAUUUAUUCUAAAGACAGAGUUGGAGAUGGGCUACCAUUGGUGUUGAUUGAGAUGACAAGCAGUCACCUGAGCCCAUACAGCUGGUAAGUAGAACAGUACUGGAGAGAUGGCUCAGCAGUUAAGAGCACUGACUGCUCUUCCAGAGAUCCUGAGUUCAAUUCCCAGCAACCACAUGGUGGCUCACAAACAUCUGUAAUGAGAUCAGGUGCCCUCUUCUGGUGCCUUUGAAGACAAAGACAGUGUAGUGUCAUAUAUAUAAAAUAAAUAAAUCUUUAGAAAUUUGAAAAUAA